UGUCCCAUGGCUUAGUUGGUUACGGCGUCCGACUGUUAAUACUCCUCCAAUCGGAAGAUCGAGAGUUCAAGUCUCUCUGGGACAG
This 85-nucleotide transfer RNA is filed under the name Hypsizygus marmoreus. It matches the Rfam family "tRNA". From Rfam's summary of the family: Transfer RNA (tRNA) molecules are approximately 80 nucleotides in length. Lineage: Eukaryota; Fungi; Basidiomycota; Agaricomycetes; Agaricales; Lyophyllaceae. The record is from Rfam by way of RNAcentral.